AAGUCUAUCACAGAUACCCAAUGUAAAAUGAAAAAGCCAGAUAUCAUAUUCAAUUAAUUGGAAUUAGAAUGCAAUACAAAAUUCAUGUCAAAUCUUUAGCGUGAAUUUCCAUGACUUACAUGUCACCCAAGUGUGAUUGGAAACAUAUUUUUCAAUCAAACUUAAUAAUCUCGCUAGAGAUUCACGAAUCAGAUCAUAAAAUAUUCUCUUGUUUUAUCGAAAGCGGAGAUCUCUUCUUGUACACUCACAUACCCAGAUAAAUCAAUCAAGCACUCUGAAGAUAUGUUAGGACCAUACGACAUAAUCUAAGAUCAACGGCGUACCCAUAGAGCAACCAUGAUGCCUCAUGUCUAAGGUGACAGGACCCGCCCCGAGAUUUCCCCAAAAUCGGGGCGAAUCCCGUCUUUGUUCCUACAUCAUCCCGAUGCCGGGCCCACCUAUAAGAAAUCGAGACUUUCUACCAAAAUUUUGGCAGAGUCUCCCCUGUAAUUUAAGCAAUCCCAACAAAAAUUUACUCAACCUGCAACAUACACACAAAUAUAAUUCCAACCAGCAGCAUGCUUUCAUACAUCUACAAGUUAUACUAGAGUGGCCUCCGGCCUCACAAGUAAAAUUUACCAUGGCAAUACAGAGCAUCUACUGAAUUUAGAUUCAAGAACAGUUGAGUAGAAGAAAUUACACAGUUCCUAAUUAGAAAGAUGCACAGAUUGAGCUUCGUACACCACUCGCACGCUUCCUGGAGUGACUACUGGUUGGGGGGGCGCAAAACAGAAAACAUGUGAGUGGACAAAAACCAGAUUUGCAGUUAAAAACAAUAUAGUAACCCCACCAUGUAAAAAUAAUGCUUAAGUCAUGCAGGUUCACAAUUCAAUAAUUAAUUACUCAAAACAUGUUUCA
This 897-nucleotide long non-coding RNA is filed under the name Prunus persica (peach). RNAcentral's name for it is "long non-coding RNA (PPER_LNC003107)". The record is from RNAcentral. Lineage: Eukaryota; Viridiplantae; Streptophyta; Magnoliopsida; Rosales; Rosaceae.